GCUCCCUGUAAUACCCAUGCCAGCAUAAUAGGAAAGCAUUAUAUGGAUGUGCUUAGAGGCUGCCGACUAAUUACUAUCUCGCAUGAGUAUUGCCUGGUUGUUAAUUAAAUUGUAGCCCCAGACAAUUUUUUUCUGGCAGGUUGGCCAUAAAAGUUCUGUAGAGAAGUACAGUGAAGUGCAUAGGGGCAUACCGCCCAGUCUUUAUCCUCACACCUCCACCGCUUCCUCCCUUGUAUCCAUCUCCUCCAACCUCGGAUCCUCAUCCGCCAUGCCGCCGAUGCUACGCCGUAGAUUCAGAGGCUAUGCCGACAGUGGCGGGGAAGAUUGAAUCCGGGGAAAGUCGACCCGGCAAAUCAUAUAGUCCCAAAAUCCCCGCUGAGUUAUGCUAAAACAAUUGGGGGCGGAGCGCGCGGCCAUCUACGUGGCGAUGACGGCGAGCGCCUGACAAGCCGUGGUUCCCGUAUCGUCUUCUGUCGCCCUGUUUUAGCUGAAGUUCAGGGAGAUAAUUUAUACACCUCCGACUGCUCUGUUUUUGGAGCAAUUCCUUUAAUUGUUUUCAUGCAAACCACUUCCUAUUUCUCAAUCUUGUUCUCGCAUGCGCGAGCUAAGAUGUUAUACUUCGGAUAUGUGGUCAUAGUUUGGAUAUCAGUGUGCUACCACUAAGCAUUAUUAAUUUGUUGCAGCAAAAAAUUCAUCAUUUUUGCCUCAAUCAUUCAGACGAACACACUUGCAAAGAGCAAGGACUGUAUACAGAGUUCAUGUGGAGACAUUCUUGGGUCUGCAAGCCAAAGUUAGUCUUAUAUAUGGGUUCAGAUGACGGUCUAUCAUGCUGGGUUCUGAAACAUCCGACAACAAGGUGUUGACCCGAAAGUUGAAUGGUGAGGUGUCAUACAUCUCAUGGGACAGUUUUUUUACCUUCUAGUGUCACCGCUUCGCUGAAAUCAUCCAUCAGCCACAAUUGUCAAUUCCCUGCCCGACGACAGGACUGGUUCAUCGUUGUCUAUUCCGAGGUCAUAUGAGGGAACCUCUGUGUUCAGCCCUGAAUCAGGGCCAUAAAUCCAUCGUCUACCAUCUGCUGAUUUGGCCUGAAUUGGCAUCUGUUCAUGCAAUUCAGUAUCAUUGGUUACAUCAUUUCCUUGGUUUGCUGCUGCGAUUAGUUCGUCUAGAUUCUUAAUUUUCGGGUCAGGAUCCUCCUCUGUCUCUUCGACCCUUGCUCUCUGAUGACCCACAAGUAUAGGGGAUCUAUCGUAGUCCUUUCGAUAAGUAAGAGUGUCUAACCCAACGCGGAGCAGAAGGAAAUGACAAGCGGUUUUCAGUAA
Long non-coding RNA from Triticum aestivum (bread wheat), 1319 nucleotides. RefSeq lists it as uncharacterized. The record is from RefSeq and is a predicted model, not a curated record. Lineage: Eukaryota; Viridiplantae; Streptophyta; Magnoliopsida; Poales; Poaceae. The transcript is spliced from 4 exons.